Molecule: ribosomal RNA, 451 nt
Filed under: uncultured bacterium
Lineage: Bacteria
Description: bacterial SSU rRNA
Rfam family: Bacterial small subunit ribosomal RNA
Source: RNAcentral
UGCCAGACUCCUACGGGAGGCAGCAGUGGGGAAUAUUGCACAAUGGGCGAAAGCCUGAUGCAGCAACGCCGCGUGAAGGAAGAAGGGUUUCGGCUCGUAAACUUCUAUCAACAGGGACGAAAGAAAUGACGGUACCUGAAUAAGAAGCCCCGGCUAACUACGUGCCAGCAGCCGCGGUAAUACGUAGGGGGCAAGCGUUAUCCGGAAUUACUGGGUGUAAAGGGUGAGUAGGCGGCAUGGUAAGCCAGAUGUGAAGGCCUUGGGCUUAACCCGAGGAUUGCAUUUGGAACUAUCAAGCUGGAGUACAGGAGAGGAAAGCGGAAUUCCUAGUGUAGCGGUGAAAUGCGUAGAUAUAAGGAAGAACACCAGUGGCGAAGGCGGAUGACUGGACGGCAACUGACGGUGAGGCGCGAAAGCGUGGGGAGCAAACAGGAUUAGAUACCCGCGUACC